UCCCUUGUGACUAAGCUGGUAAAGAAUUUGCCUGCAAUGCAGGAGACCUGAGUUCAAUCCCUAGUUUGGGAA
This 72-nucleotide transfer RNA is filed under the name Bos taurus (domestic cattle). It matches the Rfam family "tRNA". Rfam says of the family: Transfer RNA (tRNA) molecules are approximately 80 nucleotides in length. Their secondary structure includes four short double-helical elements and three loops (D, anti-codon, and T loops). The record is from Rfam by way of RNAcentral. Lineage: Eukaryota; Metazoa; Chordata; Mammalia; Artiodactyla; Bovidae. RNAcentral also lists the same sequence under 1 other name.